GUGGUCGUUAUUCUCCUUGAUAACGUUAUCGCCUUGACCUUGACUCAUUCUUUGUAAGCCUUGCCUCUCCCUCUUAACAGCCUGUCUGUAAUCUGACUUUAUCUCUUCUACACUGAAAUUGGCCAAUUUACAUGGCACCCCUCACCACAGCCACUGGAUGUGCCUCUAAUCUAAUUAGACUAAUUUCAAUUUCCUGGAUUUAAUGACUUUUAAUUUAAUUAAUUUAGAAUGCAGUACACAGGGUGAUUAAUUAGGAAACGUUACUGCGGGAUUUGGAAGGUGAGUCGCAGGAUGUGUUUAAAUAUUGUGGCCGUGGCCGUCAGUCGCUUUACACGGGGGGCCCCCCCCGCCCCCAGGAGGCACAGAAUCCGGAAAACCCCGGGCGGAGCCGGGACCUGAAUGGAGAUCACCCGACGCCAAGCUUGGAUCCUUCGUCUCUGUGCUUUCAGUGACAAGGAGCAACUCCCAGGGGAAGCGAGGGGGCGGCGGAUUCCAGCGAACGUCGAGCGGGAACGAGGCAAGUGUCGCCAGCGGUGAGGACGGGCCUUGUCUUUCUGCAGAGCCAUAUCCUUCGCCGUGUUCUCCGUGCGCCAGUGUACCCACAUGUGCAAGAGGAAUGGCUGAAUCUAACUACAUGAGCCCAGCUGAGCAGCCCAGAUGAGGUAUGCCAAGGGACACUAUCUUGGGCCACAUCCUGUUCAACACUUACCAAUGGCUAGAAUGGCCUUACUACUCACGGCGUCCCUGUAAGAUAGGUUGUGUUACCCCUUUUACCGGCCAGGUGAUUCCCCCAUGGGGCUGAACCGCCUUGUCCCCGAGGGGCGUGUGGGAAAGUGGGAAGGGUGGACGUUUCAGGGAAGGCGAGAGGCAGGGUUUGAAAUGGCCUUGGCCAGGCUGAAAUGGGCUCAAAUUCAUGCAUAGCAAGAUGAAAGGCGAGAGAGACCUUUGCUUGGGGUUCAGAAUACCCACCAGACACACACAGGAUGUGGGAUACCUAGGUCAACAGCAUAAGUGAAAGAGGCUGGGUUUUUAGUUGACAGGAAGUCUCGUAUGAGUCAACAGGGGGGGAGGUGGCAGCCAGCAAAGCUAAUGUCACUGUAGCAUCCACCAAGUGGAGGUACAACGAGUGGGGGAGGGAGGAGAUACUCCCGAGUCAGUCUGCCUCCAGGAAAUGGAGCUCAGGUCUGGAAACCUGAGUCAGAGAAAGGGGCAGAGAGCUCACCAGGCUCUCUGACCCAGAGGCUGGGGGUGGAGAGGUGGCUCCUGGCUGCUGCUGGACACUCUCCUCGUCCUCUGGCAUCCCCAAAGCGUAUUAGUCUAUUUCUGAACAAUUACAGCCCCUUCUUGCUCUUAUCCGACUGCCUUGCCUGCCUCCAGAAUACGUUACUCAUGCAACUUCGGGUUUUAUUCACGUAACCUGAGUACCUGUGGGGGAUUCCUUGUGACCUCGUUUCUCCAUGAAGUCACGUUCAAAGAAGCCCAAUCCAGCAAGCGAAAGAGAGAGAUUUCCAUCUUCAGGCACACCUCUCAAAGAGAUGAAAAAGAAUGAGGUCCCUGUUUCCUUUCCUCUCUUACUAGCUUGGGCUUCAAGUCUUCUUUAGAAACUUUGGCUCUUCCAAGGCACCCCAAACCCCCCGGGCAUCCAUAAUCGACCUGACACG
This 1661-nucleotide long non-coding RNA is filed under the name Felis catus (domestic cat). RNAcentral describes it as "lncRNA (ENSFCAG00000049156.1)". Lineage: Eukaryota; Metazoa; Chordata; Mammalia; Carnivora; Felidae. The record is from RNAcentral.